CGGCGGAAGGAGGAAAACAAAAACUGGUAGCUUUUCAAACCUCUGCUUCACAGCAUCAGGGAAGGAGCAGAUUAAAGAGAAGCAAGUCAAUCUCGACUGCCGACAGGAGGCAAAGGGGCACUGGAGAAGGGAUUGUCUGGACUUGAAGAGAAGUGAAUUUCCACCCACCCCUCCAGUCUCCCAACUGACUGUGGACCAGAAUGCAUGAUGAAGACCAGAGGAUUCUACCCCAGCAGAACCUCUGGAGAACCAUGGAGAGAUCCCCACAGAGACUGAGAAUGCUGUCAUCCCUAUAGUGUGGGCUAACAAUUAUCCUGGGAGGUCCAAACAAACAGAACCCGUACGCAUCACACUCAAGCCAGGAGCAACACCGGACAGCCAAGAGCUUUUUGCUUUUGAAUGGGAAAAUCCUGAAACAGGGAGAAGAACCCAACUGACAUGGACGGUUCUACCCCAGGACUACAAGAAUAACCUGACAAUAUUGGGAAACCAACUGGCGGAAGAACUGGAG
This is a long non-coding RNA of Myiozetetes cayanensis, 511 nucleotides long. RefSeq lists it as uncharacterized. The transcript has 4 exons. NCBI's taxonomy places the organism in Eukaryota, Metazoa, Chordata, Aves, Passeriformes, Tyrannidae. The record is from RefSeq and is a predicted model, not a curated record.